AACACCUUAGUUAUGUAAGAAUCCCUGGGCUGCUGUGAAGAGUGCCUAUGGCAGCAGAAUAAUGGUCUCCCGGAGGCGUACAUAUCCUAAUCCCUGCAACCUGUGGAUGCUACUUUCAUGGCAAAAUAAUUUUGGAACACAAGGAGGCAGAAAGAACUGUGUCCCAAUGUUGUGAGAAGAGAAAGACACAAUGAACCACUGCUGGCUUUGAAGAUGGAAGAGGGAGCUGCAACCCAAAGAAUGCCUCUAGAAGCAGGAGAAGGCAAGAAACAGAUUCUCGCCUAGAGCUUCCAGAAAGGAGCACAGUGCCAGCACUUUGAUGUUAGCCAUUCUUAAGAAGUGACUCUCCAGGGGAGCUAAAAUCCAUGUAUUUGGGCACACACUUGAACAAUAUUGCUAGAGAAAUUUAAGCAAGAGCACAAAGGUUAAUGACAUCUCUUGUGGGGACCACUGUGAGAAUAAAACAAGGCACUACGUUGUCUGGGAUGAUGGAAGGAGCUAAAGUCUUCAGUGAAUGAAGGAGCAGGACCAGGAGCUCAAAAUACUUCUUUGAAGACAAAGAAGAAAUGAUAUUACCAAAUGGUUGGCUCAAAAGAACAGGGAUUUUGCAACAGAGAGAGUAUGUCAUGGUCUUGAACAAGCAAUGAAAGAAUCAUCUGAAAGGAAUGUGGAGAUCAGAGAAAAAUGAUGGGAAAGUUACCACAGCCUGCAAAUGAGAAAUGAUGAGAGCCUGCCUGGGUUUUGCCAGGACGAUUAAAUAUCAUUGAUGCUUCUGGUCUACAAUUAGUCAGAGAAGAGAUUAAAAAAAUGAUGAGUAUUCAAGAAGGAAAGUGUUUGCUUUAACAUAUGAAGAAAAGGAGCUUCAGAGUGGUGAUUAACCCCAGAAUUGUGUGGAACGGAUAUGGAAACAAGACCACAGGAGCAUCGAGAACUGAGCAGAACUGAAGGUGACAUGAAAAUCAGCUGCAAGAUUCACCUCAGGGUGAUAAUGGGCUGCAGGUGGCUGCAGGAAUCCCGGGACAUUCUAGGCACUGCCAUAUUUUCUUAGGGGCCAGUAAGGAUGGCUAUCAUCAGAUGUACCUGAUGAUACAAACAUGGGCUGUCUUGCCUUCUAGUAUUCAUUCUUGAUGAUUGCAUCCAGAGCUCACUUUGGAGGUGCAGAUCAACUCUUCUUCAGGCUCAUCCAUGCGACUUGAGUGGGCUCUCAUCCCCAUUCCCAGGGGCUUAUGACAAUCAAGGUUUCCACUCCUCCAUGGUCUCAAUGGUUUUUCUCCCCAUGGGAAGCACAUAAUCCCAUUAGAGGCCACGGGAAGCUUUUUUGUUGGGCUUUGAGGGAAAAAAGGCUUUUGCAGCCAAUGAAUCGAUCAAUGUGUACUUCAACCUGGAUUGUAUGUAUGCAUCUCCUAGAUUGGGCGGAUGAUGAAGUGAGGCUGGAAGUGCUGAGCAUCUUCCUACCUGGGAUGACUGGGCUGAGCAGGAAGCCUACCCCGGGGUUCCAGCCAAGUUGGAGCCUGUGAGUGUGUGGUGUAGUUUAACGCCCUGAUUAAAUCACUAGGAAGCCAUUUCUCUCUCUCCUCCCAGACCAGAUCAGACAAUAUGUUCCCUUAUUUCUACUAAAGCCCCAAUUGGAUUUUGUGUCUUUUGAUACUGAAAGAAUCUUACCACAAAUAAAAUAAUUUGUCAUGUGGCUCCUACAUAUUUAUUCAGUUACAUAAACUAACUAAAUAAAUGAAUAAACUGUCAAUAAUGGUAGUUCCUCAUCUAUGAAUGACUCUUUACAAAGCCUAUCUCGCUUAAUAGUCAUAAUAAAUACUGAAGUAGAUACUAUUUAUACCUUUUUUUUAAAAGGAAUUAAAUAUUUUCAGGGUUAUACAAAGCAUGAGUAUUGUGGGUACAAAUUCAAGCUUUCUAACUCAAAUUUGAAGACUUAUCCCCAGGAUACUUUUACAUCUUUAGCUAGUACCAUGUAUACCUCAAAAGCUUACAUUAUUUUUCACAUGUGUUAGGUUUUGAGGGAUAAUCAAUAAGGAGGGCAUACUUUCAGGCUUCUUAUUUAUAACUGUGAAAUUUAGAAAUUGAUGGAGUAGCAGAUUUCUCGGUAGGAGACAGCUGUUUUAAAAUGCCCCAUGUUUUUAUUAAAGUAAAAAUCUCAAAAAUUGUCUUUUAAAAAGUGGCUCUGGCCAAUCUUAGAUAAAACAUCAUUUACUAGACUUAGGAAUUUCCUGUAGUAAAUUUCAGAUUUACUUUUCGGUCUCACAUCAUCAAAGAGAUCAUAACCCUUUGUGCAAUUAUGGUCUUGAACCAAGGCCUAUUCUCUAGGUCACUGCUGUCAGGACUUCAAGAUAAUUGUUUCCAUUGCAGGAUUUGAUUUUUAAUUCCCCGGAUGUUCUUGACGUGGUUCAGUUCUUCAGGAAAUCAUCACCCUCAUGAGCCCUCCCUGCCACUUGCAGAUAGGGCUUUCUCCCGGUAAGUUCUGGAGUCACGGCAGAGCUCAAUAAGUCUGAUUGGGACCUCCUAUGAUUAU
This 2524-nucleotide long non-coding RNA is filed under the name Homo sapiens (human). RNAcentral's name for it is "HSALNT0246950". The record is from RNAcentral. Lineage: Eukaryota; Metazoa; Chordata; Mammalia; Primates; Hominidae.